RNAcentral lists this microRNA (21 nucleotides) under Anopheles gambiae (African malaria mosquito). RNAcentral describes it as "aga-miR-87". Its record names the gene aga-miR-87. The record is from miRBase by way of RNAcentral. Lineage: Eukaryota; Metazoa; Arthropoda; Insecta; Diptera; Culicidae.
GGUGAGCAAAUAUUCAGGUGU